UUCGGACUAAAGCCCUUCGGGGCGCUUUGGGAAUAGCCUGCGUAAGAUUAGCUAGUUGGUGAGGUAAUGGCUCACCAAGGCGACGAUCUUUAGCUGGUCUGAGAGGAUGACCAGCCAGACUGGAACUGAGACACGGUCCAGACUCCUACGGGAGGCAGCAGGUAGGGAAUUUUCCACAAUGGGCGAAAGCCUGAUGGAGCAACGCCGCGUGCAGGAUGAAGGCCCUCGGGUCGUAAACUGCUUUUAUGUGCGAAGAAUAUGACGGUAACACAUGAAUAAGGGUCGGCUAACUACGUG
This 297-nucleotide ribosomal RNA is filed under the name uncultured bacterium. RNAcentral describes it as "partial 16S ribosomal RNA". It matches the Rfam family "Bacterial small subunit ribosomal RNA", at positions 195 to 507 of the family's 1533-position model. The record is from RNAcentral.